Molecule: unclassified non-coding RNA, 358 nt
Filed under: fungal sp.
Lineage: Eukaryota; Fungi
Description: partial internal transcribed spacer region
Rfam family: Eukaryotic small subunit ribosomal RNA (bases 1-46)
Source: RNAcentral
AAGUCGUAACAAGGUUUCCGUAGGUGAACCUGCGGAAGGAUCAUUAACACGUAUCCAACGUUAAACCCCCCUGUGAACUUUUAUACUUGCUCUCUUAACUGACGGAAUUGCAAUCCCUGGUAAAUCAUUGUUGAACAGAUUUUGAUUCAGGGACCUCAGUUUGGCAGUUAGGAUUGAGCGAUCGUUGCAAGUGGCCUGGUUUCCCCAAGCAGUCAGUGUCUGAAAGUGGCAUUGAUUGCCGGUGACCAGGUCGCCGUGGCUUCGGCCCCCUAUAUUAACCCCACUACCUGAUUCCGCCUCGUAGGAAACUGCUGGGCAACAAACCGAACAACUGUUAACAAUGGAUAUCUUGGUUCUC